This is a long non-coding RNA of Heterocephalus glaber (naked mole-rat), 871 nucleotides long. RefSeq lists it as uncharacterized. The record is from RefSeq and is a predicted model, not a curated record. NCBI's taxonomy places the organism in Eukaryota, Metazoa, Chordata, Mammalia, Rodentia, Bathyergidae.
AGGUCAAAGGACGCAAAGCCGGCACUGAUGAAGCUCUCCUUGUACCGUCCCAUCUUGAUGGCGUCUAGCCAGUCACCUACUGUCGUGAAAGUUGUAUAAUCCGGGACUGUGCGGUCCAGGAGGGGCUGUGACAUGCUGUGGGAGAGGAGAGUGAGCUGAUGCAGCCCACUCCAGCUCCUCGUCCUCACCGUGGCCCUGGGCACUCACCAGCUCCAAUCACCUCCUCGAUCUUGACGCAGGACACGUCGAUCUCCUUGGCGAACUCCCGCACAGCCUCGUUCGGGUCCUCGUAGGUGAAAGGGUCAAUAUAAACCUUCAUUCCAGGAGCAACUGGAGGGAGAAGAGCUUCCCAUUACCUGCGGCAGAGUCAAGUCCAAACUCUGCCUCUGAGGCCCUCCAAGGGCUGGCUGCACUCCCCAGCCUGGCUUCCCAGCAGCUGUCAAGCCAUCCUCUCUCUGCCCCCACAGCUGGCCACCCUCCCACCCCUCCCACUUCCUGAAGACUCCUCCAGCCAGGAAUGCUGCCCCUUCCUCUCGAACCCUGACAUCCUGCCACCUCCUCCCAGAAGCCUUCCUCUUUGAACUCUUCCUUCCCUUUACCACAGGAACACCCAGCUUAACACUUAAUUGUUGUCUAAUUGUUUCCUCUGUGCGCAUCUUGCCUUCCCAUAGGACUGACUGCCUUCGGGCCAGGGGUCACGUGUCACUGACUCUAGGGCCAGCAGGGAGAGAGAAGGGCCUGGGUCCCUGCAGGGAGGUGAGGGUCUGGUUGGAAGCAGGAGGGGGCAUCUAGGAAUGUUUACAAGGACCGAAGUCAUAGGCAGGGAAUGGGGCCGCUGGGGCUGGGGGCAGGGAGCGGAGAUGGGGAUGAG